GUCUUUCCUUCUACAAAGUUCGAUUGGACCUUCUUCGUUUUCGUUUUGACAACAUUUAUGUAGGUAGAGAAAAGCGUCUUGCUUGCCGCGAUAAGCAGUUAUGAAUAAGGGGGUUUCCCCUUUUGAAUUGGUCUCCCAGAUGAGUUCAGGUUCUUCUGAGUUCACCAAACACUCAAUAAUCGGGACACUCCCGAGUUCUGCUGCAAGGUGAAGAGGUGUGUUCCCUUUUUCAUUUUUCUGUUUUAAGAUACGCUCUCGAUUUUUCUUUGGUAUGUUAGUAAUCAUAUCCUUAAUACAAAGAAGAUGAGGAUGAUGUAAAUAGGUGUCUCGAUCUGGAUGGUAAGAAGAAAUAACCAAGUGAAGAGCAGUAUCUUCGGAUCUAGUGAGUUUGGUUGUACGGAGAGACUCGUUUUCCAUGUACAGUUUCUUCACUUUAGUCCACUUAUUCUCCAUAGCUGCAUUGAAUAUCUCAUCUUCAAGAUUCCUCUUUUCUCCCGACUGAUCUAUAGGCGUUACCGGUUCUUGCUCUAAUGGUUGUGGUUGAAUUUCUGAUUUAACUCUAUUGCUAGAGGGAGCUAAAGGGUCCAUUUGCACUAUAGUUGUUUCUGUAUAUUGUGUUGAUGCCACUCACAAGUCACUUACUGCUAAGAGAGGCAUUUUGCUGAGAAAUAUAUUUCUUUACAAGCCUCUAUGCUGGUGCAUGUGUGAUGGCUCUUCUAGUACUCAAAAGUAUUAAAGAAUCUAAUGUUUCUGUACUGUGACUUUUACACUAUCAUAUUAUACAUCAACAUGCCUUUUAACUUGGCCUCAGAUCACAUCUAUGACCUCGAUCAGCCUACUCUAAUACCAUGUUAAAUUGUGUGACCAUCUGACGUAAAAGGGUGAACUAUUUGAGGAAAUGAGUUAGUGUGUCCGACAAUCCUCACACCGUGAACUAGCUUCUCGGGUUGAGUUAGGCGAUUCGCAUGUGCGUAUUUCUUGGUUUACCUAAUGUUAGGCCUUUACGUUACGUGUCAACGCAUCAGAUGUCCAGUCCUAGGCAUGAGGGGAGGAGGCGAGUGUUGUGCGUCCCACAUGAAUCGUCAUUCUCCUUGUACGAUCUUGGUCUAUAGGAUUCUUGAGUUUAAGCGUUGAGGUCUAGUUAGAUCCAAGAUACAUUUUAAAAGUGUAUGCAAAACACAAGUGUAAGACUUCUUAUAAGUCAUUUGUUCCCUUCUUGCUGCUAUCACCAAGCAUCUCUCUUUUGCUUUUUGCCUUUAUUCUACACAACAAUUCUUACCAGUAGAAAUUCUUUUAUGUUUUUGUCCAGCUUUUACCAUAAAUCUUUCUUGCAUUUCCAAUAAUUUAGACAUUAUAACUUAUUAGUAUUUUACUAAUUUAACAUCAGAUACAUUGAUCUAGUUAUGUUGCAACUUGCAAGAUUAUAGUAUGAAAAAGGCUUAUAUAUGACAUCGACCAACUAUUGAAACUGGCUCAUUUAUGUCAUCUGUUAUAAAUUUGGCUCAUCUGUGGCGUCGCCUUUAAAAGUUUGGAUCAUCUAUGCCAUCGCCGUUGCAGAAAAGCUCAUUUGUGUCAUUAUAUUUUGCAACGGUGAUUUUGCAAAACUAUUUUGCCAGAUGACCGUUUAUUAAAAGUCACGUCACCUUAAAUCAACCAGUAUUACUUAAAUACAAAAUAAAGUAUCAUAACCAUUAAAAUAAAAUCCAACACAAUUAGUGGGUUUGAUUUUAUUUUUAGUUAGUUCGAUUUUUGUUUUUAAUAAGUUAAAUUUUUAUUUUAGCUGUGUGAAUAAAAUUUUGUUUUAAUAGGUUCAAUUUUUAACUUUUUAUUUUUAGUACUAUAUAUGGGUAGAUUUGGAUUUGGUAAUGUGAACCUUUAAUAAGAGGUCACGUGGUAAAAAUGGUUUUGCAAAUAUCACCGUUACAAAAUAAUGGCACAAACGAAUCUUAAUGGCACGAACGAACCUUUCUAUAACGAUGACGACAUAGAUGAACUAAACCUUCAAUUACAGUGUCAUAAAUAAGCAAAACUUAUAACAAAUAUCAUAGAUGAAUCAUUUCUAAUAGCUCGAUGGAAUUCCAGGUGUUGCUUCCUAUAACAGUUGAAUAUAGAGAGAGAUUUCGCCGAAAAAAAUAGCAAUUGGUUUCAUUUAUUUUAUUAGCCGGUAUACAUAGAUUAUAUGUAGUUAUACAUAUAUUAUACACAGAAGGGAUAUGGUAAUUUAACGUGGUUUGGACAAUCGACCUACGUCCAUAAAAAGGAGAUCAAUAAUUCACUAUUUAAAAGAGAACGCUGAAUAUUGAGAAAAAUAAUCUUACAAAAUUUCAUCACUCGGAAUAAAAAUAGGUUCACACAAGUGGCAUCGUAAUACUUGCGUCUCGCAAACUCUCCCUCUAAAUAAGACUCUCAGAGCCCUUACGACUAUAUUGUGGACAUUGUCAAGCUAGAAAAUAGGAGUCUCAAAUUAUAAAGUCAAAACCUUUUUCUACAAGAACGAGGUUUAACCAACUAUAAAAAAUUAAUGUAAGAAAGUCGAGAUAAACACCCAACGAUAUGAAGUUAAACAUCGAGAUAGGUAUGAAAGAAGAUAACUUUCGCCCAAAAUUGAGGGAAGAACAUGUUAUAUGUCAUACUUUUUUUUUAUUUAGUAAUAGAUUUGUAACCAUGAGGUAACGAGUUCAAGACUACGUACAAUACACCCUUGUGGUGGGGCCCUUUCCUGGACACAACGCAUAGUGAUAGCUUUAGUGCACCGACCCAUCCUUUUAAUAGACUAGUCAAGUGUACGUGCUUUGCACGUGUGUGUAGCGAUAAUAAUAAGUGUAUAUAAAAAAAUAAAUUACUAUUAUUUAUAUCGAACAAUAUACUUGAUCCGCCUUCAAAAAUUUCACUAUUAUGAAUCAGAUUCAUUUAAAGUCACUUUAGGCUAAUUUGUUGAUAGAGAAAAGCUUACCCUUCUAAAGAUCUUUCAUUUCUCCUUUUCCAUACCACUCACGUUAAGAUAAGUAAAAUCAUAUUCCAUGUCAUGUGUCUUCUCAUCCAAGAUUGAUAAUUAUAAAUUAUGAAACAAAUCUCUGAAUAAAAAAUUUAAAAAAAUAAUACGUUGAAAUAUCAAUUAUUUAAUAUGACACUUUGGAAGAAAAAAUAUAUUUUAGAGUCUUGAUGACGAUACAAAAACAUAAAUCGAGUUACGCAAAUUAUCCCUAAUGUCUAUCUCUAACAACCUGAUGGAAGAAUCAAAUAGGUUAUAAAUUUAGUUUGCUAACUCUUGAAAUCUCUAAUCUCAAUUUUUUUUGUCUUCUAGCCAACUAAUGACUUUAUUUGAUACUUGUUUGACACUAUGAUUUGCUUGUUAUCAUGAAAAAUCACAAUUUUCACUUUAUUUCUCUUAAUAAUUUUUUUUAUGAAGUAUGAUUCUGACAAAAGAGUAUUAACUUGAAUUAUGCCUUAAUAAGAAAUAUAACUAACAUGAAUAAGAAAUAAAAUUUAGAACAAGAAAGGCAUACCUUAAAUUCAUUCGUAAUUGGCAUGAAUCUCGUUCGCAAGUUUUACACAAAUCUUUUUUCAUCAUUUUGGUAAGCUUAAUUUAAACCAACAUGGAAGAAUAUAAACUUAUUUUGAAGGUAAAUUUAAACAACAACAAAAAAAAGCAUCUAACAUAAGCUUAAAAUCCCAGAGAAAAAACUCAUAUUUGGAAGAAGAAAAAAACGUGAGAAGGUAAACGAUAAUUUGGAUCCAAGAGUUGGAAUGUAUAUGUCAAGCUCAUAUAUUUAAUUAAAAUAAAAUAUAAUUCUUUACAAAUAUUUUAGGAUUCUUAAUUUCUUUUCAUAUAUUUUAGGAUUCAUGUCUAUUUUAGAAUUCAUAUAUUUUUAAGUAGUUUAAGAUUCUUAAUUUUUUUUUCCAUAUAUUUAGUUUAUCAGGGUUCUUUCCAUAUAUUUUAGGGGUCCUUAAUUUAAUAAUAUAAUAAUUGAAUAAAAAAGGUAAAAAUACGAUUUCAUCUAUUGCAGAGCGUUAAUUCACGUGUGUUUUUCGUCAAUCAAUAAAAGUUUAUAUAUGGAAAAUUAAAAUUAUUAGCAAGUAGCAUUAUAUCUGUUUAAAUGAUAUGGUUUGUAUCCCACCAAAAAGGACAAUCAUUAUUACCUAUUAUUAAAUAGUUUAUUCAUAAUUAAAAUAGCUACAUAUAAUUAAAUUUUAAUUUAAGCGAAAAUUCAUAAAGGAUUAGAAUGACUGAUCAAUUUCUUGUGGCGAAAUGUAACGAUAUAAAAAAUCUGGCCAAAAUUAUAAAUUAUUAUUAAAAAAAUAUGAUUUAUUAUGAUCAAAAAUCACAUUAUCAAUUAACAUUUAUCUAUCAAGAAUACAUGAUAAUUUAUUAUUUUAAAUUUUAAGAACAUGCUAAAAUCACAAAGAAAACUUCUCAAUUAGUAAUUGUCUAUUAAAGUAAUCCUUUUUCUUCGCCUGGUGAAAUUAAACUAAACUAAAAACUGGAAUAAUCAGAGGUGCAUCUUUGAAACUUUCCAUUGAUCAGUCGCUUCUUGAAUGACAUAAUUUCAGUCCUAUCCCGAUGCCUUCACCAAUUUCUUACUUCUAAACUAUAGGCGUAAAGCAGGUCAUGAACCACAGUUUAAUACAUGAUAAUUUAUUUUUGUAAACAGAAAAAACAUACUAAAAUUUUAGAAACUUACCUCAAUCACAAGUAAAUUUGUCCCUUCAAUUAAAGUUGCUAUCAAUAUUUCACCCAAAAAAAUUUCAAUUAACAAUUGUCUAUAAGUAAUAUAUGAUAAUUUAUUAUUGUAAACUUUAAGAACAUAUUUAAAGUUUAGAAAACUUACCUCGAAAUAGUAAAUUUGUCUCUUCAAUCAUACUCCCUCUGUUCGUUUUAGUUGGCCCUCUUUCUAAAAAUAUUUAUUUCAAUUUGUCUCUUUUGAUGAAAUCAAGAGUAUUUUGUUAUGUUCUUUCAAUACUACCUUCAACAUUAAAUGACUAAACAAAGUAUAUUUACUCAAAUUUAUAUUUUCAAAGUAUAAUUAAUAAGGCUAAUUUGAUAAAAUAAACCCCUAAUAAAUGUUCUCUUAAGGGGAGUGUCAAGUCAAAAAUGGCCAACUAUUUUGAAACAGAGGGGAGUAAGAUAUAUUGAGAUUUUAUUUUUUAAAAAAAAUCUCAAUCAACAAUUUUUUCCAAGAAUAGAGAAUAAUUUAUUUAUUGUGAACAUCAAAACUAUACUAAAAAUUUAAAAAGCAUACCUCGAAUCACAAUCAAAUUUACCUCUCUAAUUAUAGAUUCUAUCAAGAUUUCAAUUGGUAGAAAAAUUCUAAAUAUAAACCUGUUUUUUUUUUCUAUGUACGGUAGUUUUGAAACCUGUAAAAAUAAAAAUAAAAAAUAAAAGUAAGUGAAUUGAAAAUCUCAUAACACAAUGAUGAGUAUAGAAAGCCUCAACGAUCAAAAAAUUCAAGUAGUUAACAUGUGUGAAAAACUAUUAACUUGUAUUAGAAUCGGAAUAAGAAGAAGAAGAGUAAAAGUAGAAGACGCUGAAUGUUUAUAUUUUUUUGUAAAGAUUGAUUUGAUUGAAAGUAUUACUUAUAGAAUUUUAGACAUUCUUUUUAUAUAUAGUAAAAUUUUAUUUAAUUUAGAAUUGUUAAAUAUUAUGAUUUCUUACCUAGAUGAAAUAAGAAGUUUAAUUAAUUUAAAACCUAAAUAACUUAUAAUGUUGACUUACUUUUUAAAAAAAGUCCUAAACCAACUUUGAUUUUUUAAAAACUAAUCCAAAAUAGAAGUCCUUAAAAUUUUUUUGAAAAAAGGCCUAACUAAACAUCACACGUACUAUAUUAUAUUUGGAUAACUUUUAAUAUAAGAAUAUUUGGACAACUUUUUAAAAAUCAAAUUUUACGUGGUUUGAGUGAAAUUUUAAUUUGAGUUGGUUGUGGUUGUGUAUAAGAGCAACAUUAAUAAUUAAGGAGUUCUAAAAUAUAUGGUAAGAAGUCCUAAAAUAUAUGGUAAGAAUUCUAAUCCUUGCAAAAUUCAUAUCAGAAAAAACAAAUUUAACGAAUUUUAUGAAUUUAAAAUUCUUUCUAGUAUAUAUUAAUAAUAAUUUAAGAAAAUAGUGAAAAGACAAUUUUGUCUAUUACGGAGAUUUUUAGUGAAGGGUAAAAAGUUCGAAUCACUUUUCUAACUGUCUUCACAUUUUUAAUAUAUUGUAGAUUUGUAAUCGUAUAAAUAUCUCUGUCUAUGGUUGUAUAUCACAAAUUUAAGAUUUUCUUUAUAAAAAUUUUGUGCCUAAUCAAAUACCAUUACAUAAAUUAGAACAGAAUGGAGAAAUUAGCAGAAUCAUAGAAUAGAAAAGAAUAAAUUAUGUUUUUGAAAGUAGAAGUUUUACUUGUUACAGGUUCGGUUCUCUUCACGAGAGUCAAUUUAAUUGAUUUUUGAAGUUAAAGUUAAUUAGAUUAAUUUAAAAUUUUAAAAUUUAGAUGUUCAAAAACUAUAAUUUGCAGUCUUUCUCAUAUUAAUACGAUUAGUUUUUUUUUUAAAAAAUAUUUUGAUUAAAGUUGAUACAACUUGACUCUUAAUAAGCGAAAUGCGACAAAUUAAAAUGUAUAGAAGGAAAACUAUUAAAAUCAAAUACAUUAGGUAUUCUACUUGGAUUCGUUAUUUUCAAGUUUUUUCUUAGUAAUAUUCACUUGAUUUGAUUUAUUUUUCAGAUUCAAAUUCAAGAUCCAAAGUUGGUGCAUAAAUAUUCACUUUGAAAAUAAUUGUUCUAUUUAUGAAUCAUCAAGUAUAAGUAUUUACAAGAGGCUAUGAUCUAAUGAAAACACAAUAAUUUCUAAAUGGUCAUGUAAAGACUAAAUUCAAAGGUUUUUAUUGUUCAAACCAGUAUUAUCAAGAUGGCUAUUUUGGUUAUUUAAUGAAAGGAAAAAUAACAUAAACAUACAUCUUUUCAUAUUUACGCAAAAUAUACCCUCGUUGUAUGUAUUAUGUGUUUUGACAGACCCAAAAAAAAAUAAAAAUAUCGGGAGCUAAAUAUGUAUCUUUACAAAGGAAAAAAUAUCUUCGUUGGAUGUAUCGGGAGCUAAUUAUGCAUCUUUAUAAAGGAAAAAAUGUAUCCUCGUUGUAUGUAUUAUGUAUCUCGAUGGAUUCAAAAUCGAAAAAACCGUAUCGGGCGAUAAUUAUGUAUCUUUACAAAGGAAAAAAUGUAUCUUCGUUGGAUUUAUCUGAAGCUAAAUAUGUGUCUCGACAGACCCAAAAUUUAAAUUUUCAAUAAUUAUGCAAAAUGUCAGAAUUUCUAUAAUUAAGUUUCAAACGAUCGAGAUUUAUGUUGUUUGCCCUACUUAUUAAACCAGCUAAAAAGUCACCAAAAUUACAUUAUUGUUUAUGGGCCUAUUGGAUCCAAGCCCAAAGUCAGAAAUCAGAAAUGGAGGCCCAAUACAGUCCAAAGCCCAUAGAUUAGACGGUCCAAGAGAGGCAUAUCGUCUAAUUGUUAUCAGGAGAUCAUGAGUUCAUGUGUACAAUAACUUUGUGGUUCAAUCAUUUUUCCUACCUCGUAUGUAUUGGAAGCUUUUAGUGCACUGAGUUGCCCUUUUCUUAUGCUAUUUCUCCUACUUUCAUGCAAUUCACGUGAUUUAACUAGCAAAACAAUUGAUAUCUUCCGAUGCUUUUAACUUAUAAUAAAGAGAACGAGUCUUAUGUAGGCUGCUUACGUAUCCUGUGUCCAACAGGAAAUCAGGUCGAACGUAGUUCCAAAUACAUGGAAAAAAGGAUGUUGAAAUUCGAUGCUAAUAUGACCGACUCCCUAGGUGGGUUGCCUACGUAUCCAUCGAGGAAAUCAGGUCAGCCGUACUUCACCUUAAAAGAAAAUUUAAAAACGUACAAAGAAUUGAUCAUUAAAUUCACAACAAUACAUAAUUGUUCCCAAAAAAUAUGCUACCCAAAAAAAACUGGCCAUCCUACUACAUAAGUCCUAGAUGACAUUUUUUUAAAAAAGGAUCCUGCUACGCUUUAAUCGCCAUUCUCAAGGAAACCAUUGCUAGAGUAGGCAUUGAAUUGAGAGAGUUAAAAGUUGAGAAUUUUAGAAAGUGAUUAAAAAGAACCUAACAGAACGAGCCCUAUAAGAGAUAUAAGCUCAAGAUAAUAAUUAAUAAGGAAAACAGAACGCACGGAGAUCGAACUUUGAUAAGACAAAAUUGUGAAUGACUCAAAAUUCUAACUUAAUAUCGUUGGAUAAAAAAAAAAGGAAUAUAAAAAAUGAUGAUAAUAAUAGAAUUUUCUUGAUUUACGUGCUAAAGCUUGAGUUUUUUUUUAUAAAAAAAAAUAAUGUGGAAGAUCAAUCCCAAUAAUCUCAAGAUAGGAACGACACAUGCCCUUUGAAUGAGUGGAACUUUAAGGAAGAAUCAAAUUUAGGAUCGUCGCUCUAAAAUAAUUUAAAGGAGAAAAUUAGACAAAUAAUGUCAAGUGCAUCUUGCCAGUUUAAGUAAAAUAGAUUUGAACAUCUACCAAUUUAAGAAGCAAAAGGUCAAAAGAGAGACUUAGAAGAGCAUAAACAGAUAAAAGAUUCGAAAGCUCGAAUUUAGCACGAGUUUGGCAAAAUUUGAUCAAGUAGGAAUCUGAAAAAAUUUGAAAUGAAUAUUUUUAGUAGAAAUAUUUGCAAAGAAUUAUGUCGGCAUUAAGAGCAUUUUUUUUUAUUUUUUUUUUACAAGUGGCUGACAUAAGUAUUGAAAUCUUGAAGAAAAAACAAACUAAAAUAAUGACGAAUUAAACUCAUAACGAUUUGUAAGAGAGAAUGUGAACCCUAUAGGAGAUCUUAAGAAAUGAAAAUGAGAGAACCUUAAUUGAAAUACUAAGAAUUCGACGGGCUGAAGAUAAUUUCCUAAAUGACGCUCUAGAAUCAUUAAAAUGCGUUAAGCGCAGAAAUGCUACUAUAAGAAUUUUAAAGAAAUGUCAUGAUAAAAAAUAUGUGAAGAUGUGAUAGAUAAUAAAGAGAUACAUAAGUGCAAAUUUAAUUUUCUUAUAUAAGAAUAAGCACAAAACAAAGGUGAAAAUAACAAAUAAAUAUCAAAUCAAAUCAAAUCAAAUUGCAAAUAAAUUUAUGUAGGUCAAAUGGCAUGUAACAAGCAAAUUUGCAGGACAAAUAACAAAAAUAUGUUAAAUAAUACGUCCUAAUAUGCAGGUGACUCCUUUAUGCCGGAGGUAGACCUAGGCGUCAAGUAUCAAUUGAGAUUCUGACAAAUUGAUGACAUUACUAGAGUUGGAGUUGGAAUUUUCCAAACUCAAUUAAGUCAAAUUUUGACUUGGAUUAAUUUAUCAUUAUCUCUGCAUAUAAUAUGAGAGAUUGUUGUUGGGUCGUAAACCCAUUUGACAUAAGGGUGUUUUCUAAGUUCGUGGAAUGACACCUUGGGUCAAACCACCUAGGACUUAUGCAUGCAUGGCCUAUAUCGAGGGAAGCUCUAUCUUAAGUUUUUCUAAGAUUUGGCUUGCUAAACCCAAGGUUCCCGAGUGGACAACUCGAGUGAGAAGGCUACACGGUCACACGAAAAAAGAUCCGGACACACCGCGCAUAUGCCAACUCUCCUAAAAUUUGGAAUCUUGAAACAAAUUUGCGAGUGCGUGAAACACAUCUCACGUGUACGUGCGAUUGUGUCAGUUUUUCUGAAUGGAAGAAGUAUGAACGGAAUGCCAAUUUCUAUAAAGCAAUAAACAAAUAAGCAAUUUAUAGCAAGUAAACAAUAUAUUUCAAACAUGAUAAAUCAAAACAAAAAGGGCAAAACAAAUAAUAAUAUUAAACAUAAUUAUUAAACUAAGUUUGUUAUAUUUAAGAACCUGAUUUCCCCAGUGAAGUCGCUAAGCUGUUAUACCCCAUUUUUAACACGAGGUUAAAAUAGUAUACAACAUAUUGGAAAACUUCUAAUUAAAUGUAAGGAAGUCGCCAAGCUGUUAUACCCCAUUUUAACACGUGGUCAAAAUCGUAUACAACAUAUUGGAAAACUUCUAAUUAAUAAAUUUAAGGAAGUCGUCACCUAAUUAGUUCUACAGUGAAUUAGGACACCUAUUAUAAACUAUGUGAUUAAGAUAAAUAAAGACUUCAUUUUAAGGUCUGCAAAAACCUAAAAUUCUAGGUAAGGAUUCUAAUUAUCCUAAAGGGAACGAAUUAGGCACCCUAAAGGAUCCGCUAACUACGGUUAACCAGCCAAACUUAGAUUAAAUAAAGAAAUCAAAAAGCUAUGUUAAGAAAGAUAUAAAUAAGGUAUUAAAAAUAUACUUGUCUUAUUAAAAAAAAAACGUGUUAAUUAUUUAUUAAAAAAAAGGGUUGAAAAGUUUUUAGAAAGGCUCACCCACUUUUUAAAAAUUUUAAAAGAUAACUCCUAAAAAUAUGCAACUUUAUUGUUGUCAAAACAGUAAAAUAAAUAAAAUAGUAAAUAAUAAUGAUAGGAAAACAAUAAUAAUAAUAAUUAUUUCAAGUCAAUUCUCUACAAAGCUUUCAAUUAAUAAUUAAAAGUUAAUUAUGGUAAGAAAUCCACAUUUUUUAUUCUAAAAAUGACUCUUUUGCUUUUAAAAAUUGAAUUUCAUAAAAAUGAGUUAAUUAUCCUACACUAAGUGAAUAGAUAAAUAUAUAAUUGUUUAAAUUUAUUACGAUACAACUAAAGACAAAUAAAUAAAAGUAUUCUUUUUUCUUGUCAUUAGAAAUCCAAAAAGGGGGCUUGCGAAGUGCCAUCUUGCAUUUGAAAUUAAUAAAUAAUAAUAAUAAUAAUAAUAAUAAAUAAAUAAAAUAAAAAUAGAAUAACAUUUGAUUUACCAUAUCUAAAAUUAGUAAAGCCGACCUUCCGAACCUAGUUAUAAUAAUUAGCCUACCGCGAGGAAAUUACUUUAUUAAUUCUACAUUAGUAACUAAUGAGAAAUUAAUUUUAUUCUAAAGAUAAGGCCAAUUAUUCUAAAAGGCAUGUUUUGAUCUACCAAACUUUAACACUUCCAAAAAUAUAAAUUAAAUAUCUAGGUCUAGUGAUAUGCUAACUUUGAAAUCUAAGAUGGGCGGAAAAGGGAACGAAUGAAUUUGCUAUCAUAUUUAAGAAUUCACACUAAUCCAAGUAAGAACAAACACAAAUUUUAAAUAAUAAUAUGCGAAAUUUAAACAAAGAUAAUAAUACGUGUCUACAGACGGAUAAAGCUUGAAAAGAGUGAAAGAUACACUAGACUCUGCUAGACGAAAAUGUGAUAGAGUGAAUGCUUCUUGUUGAUGAAAGAUUGUUGUAUGCUUAUUUUAGAUAAGUCCAUAAGUGUGAAGUAAGAGUGGGGCCAAGUCUUUGAUACAUGUGAUUGGUUAGUUGAUGAGUGUGUGUAUGUUCUUGGGGUAGCGCGUGAAAGUUAUAUUGAUAGUGGAUUAGCGAAUAUGGGAAGUAUGUCUUUAUGGGUGUUUGCCUUGAAGUUCAUAUGUGGUUAUAAAGAUAGGCUUGAAUGAUAUGUUGAGAUUUAAGUGGAGGAAUGCAAUAUGCGCUAGUGAAUCCAUAGUAAAAGUUCAGAGUUAGUCAUUGAAGUGGUAAGGCACGAUAUGCGUAGGGUAUGAACUUUAAAAAAAUAUAGAAGGUUGAAUCAUACAGUUUGGACUAAUAUCGUAGAGUGGCAUGUUGUAUUUUGUGAAUUGGAGUUAGGCUUGAUCAUGGUAAGAGGAUUUAAGCUACUAUAGACAUUAGUAGAAAGAUUUAAAAAUGCCCUUAUGAGAAUAAUAAGUUGAAUCAAUGAGUAUGGUAUUUAAGGAAAAUAGUAUAGUUAAGGGAGUAUUCGAGAAAUGUGUUAAGCUUGAAAGUGAGAAGCUGUAUUGCCUAAGACCUGAUUAUUCUAUUCCAUGCUAUAGAGUAGUGUCAUCGUUGUGAUUCCUUAGUUGGAUGUCUUGUGUAAAGUCACUCCCUAAUGUUACUAGAACUUCUUUAGAAAGAGUGCUGAAGAGAUACUCCAGUUAAGUAUAAGUGUCUGGUAUAAUUCAGUCUGUAAUUUAGUUUAACAGUCAGGGCAGACAAGUUACUGUGGUUUUCCACCUUUACACCCAGUCCUGUUAUCCGAAGUCUCAUGCGUAUGAACAUCUCAAGAGAUAAUUUAUUCCAUCCAUGUAAAUUGCGAAUUUAGUCCAAUCUAAGCAUCAUGUUUUAGAUUCAGAUAUUUAGUCAUGACUCAGUUCAUAAGAGUUCAGCGCAUAGUCUCAAAAUUUUUUUCCAAGUAUUUUAGCUCAGACAGUGUAGUACCCUGGUACAAUCUAAAUCUUGUUGUCUCAUAAUUCAUACUUGCAUAAGUUAUCACCCCCAAUUCAAUAUGUACGAUUUGAUCAUGAACACUUUAAGAGAAUCCUGGACUCUCAGCAUGAAUCAACUCCUUAAAGCAAGUAAGGGCAAGUCAGCUCAUAAUUCAGUUUCAUGAUAGAAGUUUAAAUGUUUCAGAUAAGUAUAUCCUUCCUUAGAAGACAUAACAUGUCCACGUUAUUCCAUACCUUUAAGACUUUAACAUUCCUACCCAUCAUUCAGGGACGAAUGAUCCCAAGGGGAGAUAAUAUAAUACCCCGCAUUUCGGGCUAGAACGAAAACCGUCAUUUCUAUGCGUAGAUGAUCCAAAAACCAUAAAUCCUAUGAAAAUUUGGCAUGUUAAUCAGUUAUGUAGUGUGGGAACCUAUUUGAGCAUGAAUUGAGAUCAUAGAGGUCCCCUAACUCAAGGACGAGUUGAAAGCUUUCCCAUCGUUCGAGUUUGAGUGAGCGUCGAAACUUGGGUCAGUUUCGAUUGACCAUAAAUCUUUGUAUAUAACGAAUUAGAGGACUACUAUAUAUCAAUGAAAGCUCUUCGAAUUAUCUUUCCAACGAUACCAAUUUCGCCAAAAUCUGAUACCCGAGCAAAAAGUUAUGGCCAUUUUAGUAACUGAGACAGUAGCAUCGUGCGAUAAGCGUGCGACGCACGCCCUAUCGCACGCACCAAAUUUUUAGAUUCUGUUUCCGUAUUUUUAAGGGAAAAAUGGGUAUCUUCCACCCCUUAUCCAGCUAUAACACGGGAUUAAACUCUCAAAACACCAAACUAUGAUUCUUUUCUCUCAAAUUCAUCAAGAACUCUCCCAAGGACUUCAAACUAAAAACCCAAAUAACUCAAGAUUCAACAGUGAAUUUUCAAAAUUGAUUGAAGAUUUGGAAUCCCCAAAUCGAGGACUUCAAGAAUCAUUCGCUAAUAUCCUACUUUGAGGUACGCGGGGUCUUCCUAAGAUCUCAUGGGUAUAGAAAUCAUGUUUUUAAGAAAAGGGUUUCGGAUUUAUGAAUACAUUCAUGUUUUAGAAGCCUUAAUGAUAUUGUUUUGGUCUUUAGGCUUUCCCCAAAUUGAUUUGAAAUUAUAUAUAUAUAUAUAUAUGAAUGCAUGUGUUUAAGGAUGAAUAUUCAAUUGAGAGCAUGAUUUAUAAUGAAUCCCUCUCUUGUUAUGAAUUUUUCCAUCUUUCGUAUGAUAUGAAUUGUUUUGCAAUUCAUUUUGAAAAGCAUGAUAUGAAAUAUUUGGAUUUUGCUAUGACUUGAAUAUGAUUUUUGAACACGAAAGAGAGGGUUGUGCAUAUUGAUAAAUGUUGAAUACACAUAUAAUGAAAGAGUACAUAGUUUUGCGAAAAGCACAUGACCACCAUAUGUUUGAAGAAUUCUUGCAUAGUUUUGACUUAUGUUUCAGAACAUGAAAUCUCUUGUAUUGUUUGCCAUGUUGGGUGGUUUGAAUUGAGUUUUAAUGAAAGAAUUAUGCAUGAUACAUUAUGGCUCAGAAAAUAGGACUUGCAAGUCUUGGUGUGACGACACCAACUCAGACAAUGCCAUGGUAAUUCAGAACAGAAUAGAAUGCAUGUUUGAAAUCAGAUUUUCAGAUGUUGAAACUAGAAUAAUGCAUGUUUCAGAACAAGAUAAAAUUGGGCAUAAAGAGAGCUUAGGUGGUUCCCCUGAAAAAGGCACGAGUUCAGACAACUCAUUGCCCAAAACAGUGAUUUGCCGAUCCGGGUAUAUUAUAUUACACUGGCCUAGUGCCCUGUAGCGUAUUAGACUCAGACACUCCAACCCUUGCGGCACACUUGGGUUAGGGGCUUCUCCACCGAGUCAAUGGCAAACUCCAUAUAGCCCAUGGGGUUUUAGACUUGUAGAGGUAUACCACUUAACUCAGAAGUAAUACAACGAUCAGAACUUGCAUUAACAGAAAGGUUUUAUGAUUAUAAAGAAUGCCCAUGUGUUAUCUUUCAUGAUGUUUAUGACUAGCUCUCAAUUAUUUUAUUUAUAUAAAAACUUUAUUUUGGAUUUCUUCGCAUACCAGUACAUCUGUAUUAACCCCUCUAUACAGUCUAAGGGUCCUGAUAAGCAGUAGAUUCAUUAGACAGGAGUGAAGAGUACCAGUUGGUGAGCCUUCUAUUUCAGAAGGCCUAGUUUCUUUCAGACAAUUAUUAUUUAUUAUGAUUUUGGUCUAUUGGGGCCUUGUCCCAGUUUUCGGACAAUUGUUAUUUGAUCAUGCAGUAGAGAUUUCGCAGACAGUGUCAGACAAUGUUUUGUUGAUAUUGGAUUUUAUUCCUCAUUAUUAUACUAAAUCUAGAUUAUGACCGUGUUUCCGUAGAAGAUUUUAUUUUCGCAUUUCCUAUUGAUAUAUGAAUGGUGUAUAUGAUUACAAGUAAGAAGGGCUCUCGGGCCUGCAUGGUUCGGAUGUCCGUCACAGCUGGGCCCGGUUCGGGUCAUGACAGAUGUUCUCCUAUAUAUAUGAUUUCCAUUGGACCCAGAAAUGAUACAUUGGACGAAUCUGUGCUUUUAACUUUGUUAGAAUACAAGUAGCAUUGUUUGUGAGGUGAAAAUUCUCUUUUGUUCAACCCAAAAGAGGAACUUUUUAAAGCUGCUCCAGAUUUGAGUUGUGUACUGCUGCUGGUAUGUGUUUCGCUUGGAGAAACAGAUGGCAAUUUAGGAAUGAUUUAGAUACUCUGAGUGAGCAUCGUUUGACAUCCAAAUGAAUUUGGAAUCUGGUUAUCAUUCAUUAGAAGAAAGUAAUAGGUUUGGGUUCUGUCAAAUCUAUAGAUUCUUCAUUAUUGACUCAUUUUUUUGGAGUACCAAACCUAUCAUUUCAAUUUUUUGUUUUUCAGUAGCAUUUAGUGCCCUAUAGAGUUCAUCUUUGACCUUAUUAAUGUUGUUCUUUUUCACAUUCAGAGUGUGUUGUUCUUGCUUCUUCUAUUCCUUGACCAUAGAAGUAACGGGUAUGCAAUUGUUUUUCAGGGCAUGUCAAAGAAAAGGCGUUCUCGAAGUGUUUCUGUAGGAAUGCAGCAAAGCUCUUGAGGUAUGGCAAAUCUACAUGACGAUUACGAGAAUUUUCUCCCUUAUGACUUUAUAAAACUUUGUUCUGUGAAUUUACCUAUAAGCAAAACUCAGGGGUUCAAAUGGUUCGGAGCUUGGAGUUCCCAAUUCUGAGCCUCAAAACUGCCAUCAUAUUUGCUCGGUUCUGGGGAAGACGGUCCAAAUAAUACCUUGUAUUGUUCCUUUGAGAGAUGAUGUGCAGUUAUUUGGAACCAAGUUUUUCCCGGAAUGGCCUUUCCAAACCAUGCAGCUGAUGGUAUUGAAGUGCAACUGCUGAGGACAAGCCGGGGUUAAUCCUCUACUGCAUUUUGAAGAAAGGUUGUGACUAAGAAGGUGUACCAUUGUUAUCGUUUUGUGGCUGGUAACAAUUAUCACUCCGCUAUUUUGUUGAUCUCUAUCCGGUGUUCAAAUGUAAGGUCCCGGUUGUUUAAACCUCUGUUGUAUCUUCCAUCUUUUUGUGUUCAUUAGAUGGUACAGCACUGAAUGUUAGCUACUUGUCCCUAAACGUACAUAUUUUCUUUCUAAUAAUAUAUUAUCGUACACGUUGAGUGAGUCCUAAAUUACGUAUUGAAGAUAUGUCUUACCUAUUUACAUCCAAUAAGAAGCCAAAAAGCGAUAACCUUCAGAAGUGUGUCCUUGUGGUCAGUGAAUUGGGAGUAGAGCAAUGAGGUCUCAGGUUCACAUCUCAGUGGAGGCACAAGGUGUGAUUUCGUUCCAUCUGUUCAAACUUUGGUGGGCAGAGUUACCCUGUACCGUCGUUGGUUUCGUUAUUUAGCACGCUAUUGUUAACAAGUAGCCUAGUCGGAUCGAGUGGUCAGGACCCUCGGUGUAAACAAGUACGUGCUCAAUGCUGACCCUCGGUGUCUCUUACACUUGUUUUUACGCUAGUGAUGGCUCCUAAAUACAUGUCCCUUAUGUUAAUUAUAUAUUUAAUAUAAUUUUCUUUUGUCCCCACCACCCCACCGAAGGACCUUUCUAGGUACUUUAUCAGAUGCUUUCUCUACGUCAAUGAACACCAAACUUUUUCCCUUCGCAAUGAACUCCCAUCAAUCCCCUUAGCAGAAAUAUUGCCUCUGUUGUAAAUCUACCGGCAUAAAUCCAAUUCGUGUCACUUUUAUAGUAUCCCUAAAUCUACACUCCAUUGCUCUUUAAAUAGACUAGCUACAAUCUAAAUUUAAUAGAGCUUGAGCGAGGUAUACCGGGGAGUCCUUUUAUUUGGAUUUUUAAGUUAUAUUUGGAUAGAAAAUGAUCCUUGAAAAGCCGAACUUUUUCAUUGUUCAAUAAGAUUACAGAUAGGAUAAUACAUAUAUCAUGCUAUCUAGAAUUAUAGAUACGAUAAGUUCACAUGAAUUACGGGAUCAAACAGCAUUUAGCACCCUACUUAACUAGCUUUAGACUGGAAAACAAGGUAUGUGAAGUCAUGGAACUCUUAAAAAAGUGCAAGUUUAUUCAGGAUACAUAGAAAACAUGAUGGCUCCACCUCGCCUCCCCUCGAUGAAGGGAGACCGUUCUUGGAGGCAUCGUUUUUUUGAUGCAAAACAAUCCAGUCUUCAUUUGGAAACUAGAGUAGGAAACCGUUCAACACUCUGCUCUUGUGAUGAUUUCUACCUGUUUCAAUCAUCUUCUUCUUUUUCUUUCUUCUGAUCUGAGCUAGUUGCUUCUGAGGAAAUGGUAUAAAAUACCUUAUAGCUGCGAAGUGGCAGCUUUUGGAUGUAUGACCUUAUAAGAUCAACAUAGAGAGGGAAUUGAUUAAAUGCAAAAAACACCACAGGUAUGCAUGUUGCCGCGUAUAUUGGAAAUGCUGCAUUCUUGAAGUUAUUCCGGAUGACAAAGAAAUGUGCAGCACAGAAUGAGACCAAGAUAGCAGUUAUCGAUGCAAAAAGCGAAGUUAAUCCAAGGAGCAACUUUCGCGGCAAAUCCUUCUCGAAAUCCUUGUGUUGGCACCGAGAAGUGAGGAUAGCUAAGAAAAACACCAGGGCCGUGACAGAGAAGCAAAGAGAAACAAGUGAUGCUAUAGAAAACACGUCAAAAGCAGGUUCAUUUUCUAAGUGUGGUUUGUCUUUAACAUCGGCUUCGCCUGGGAUUGUGGUAGAUGUAACGAAUGCAACUGUAGCAAUUAGUGCUGCUAAUGACGCGGCGGUUUUGCUGAUCCAUUCGGUGCUCUCUACGAGUAACUUUGCAUGCGUCUCUUCGAAGACCCGUCUUGGUGUCUGACCUUUCUUGUUAUAACGAACAUCUAAUUUUGGCAAAGUGUGCUUGACAUACUGUAGUAUGAUAGGAAAAUUCUUUACGUUUUAGUGUAUUUAAGUUAAUCCCUUGUGAAAUAAAGAGAUGAUUGGUUGUUAAAAAUCUCUUACCUUGUACCACUUCCAUUCGCCUUGCAAUUGUAGAGCUUUACCAGGGAUGCGCCACACCUCGAGAUUCUGAUACUUUGCAGCUAUAUGCACUGCAUUGUUUCCAUGUUUGUCCUCCUGAGAAUACACGGACUCUGGAUACUUUCCCUCUAUUAGCCAGUUAUAGACCAUUGUCUGCCUAUGCUCUACAGCCAAAAGAAGUAUGUUCUUCUCUUCAGAGUCCGUAUCUUGAAUGGCUAUUGGGAACUUUUUGAGUAUCCUCUUUACCAUCUCUAGAAUACCCAUCUUUGAUGCCACUAAUAGCGGUGUCUCCUUGGUCAUGGGCAAUUCUGUAUUUAGAACUAUAGUCAUUCUAGUUGCUAUUAGUGAACUCAUAGCUUCUAUUAAGUUAUAACUGCUUUAAAAAAAGAAGAAAAUUGAUCCUGAUUUGGAAUUGUAGAGAAAAUUUUCAGCAUGUUGAUAUUAUUGAUCUAGAACGACGACGACAACUUGAGUUAUUAAAAUUGUAAAGUCUUGAUGACACGGAACAAAGUUUCCUUGCCACACAAUUAUGACUAGGGAAAAAAGACUCUUUACCGGAUUUGGAAUCAUCUGUCUUAAUUUCAUCUGUGCUAGAAGUUUGUGAUUGCUUGAUCGCUUCAGUGUUACUAGAGACGUCUUCCUCUGUAGUAUCAUCAGCUAUUUCAGGAGGUGCGGGAGGAGGUGCUCCAAUUCGGUUAUAUCUGUCUCGACUAUACAGGUUUGCUGGCUUCUCCCCGGUAUUUUUAUAGAAUUGGUAACGUUUUUCUUUCUCAAUCAUCAACUUCAUAAUUUGAACUCCCGCUCUACGUUUACUUUUCUUUUCCUUUAUUUUUUUAAUCCUUUCGAGUCCUGCAUGAAACAAGAUUUGAAUACUCUCUAUUGUCAUUAAUUUCCAAGCAAGGGGUGAAGCAGAAAAUAUAUCAGAAAGGGAUGGGAACUACAUUGUUCGAAAGAUUAGUAAGUCUGAUUCUUUUAGAAUUACGGUUGUUGCAUUCAAUAGUUAAGAAAUGUAUGCAUGCUUAAAAUAGAAAUGUCGCAAGAAUAAUUCUUACCGAUACCCGAUACAAGUAGUACAACCUUCAUUAGACAUUUGAGGAACUCGAUAAAGAUGGCAUAAUUGGCUGUAAACAACCUCCUGUUUCCCUUCCCUUCAGCUGGAACUCAACAGAUCAGUUGUUAGCAGAAAUAUGUAGGAGAAUCGUGCACUCUUUUAUUAAUUUUCUUCACAUAGAAAAUGUUCACAUAACUUGGAAUCGAAGGAUCUCAAUGCUUUGAUUUUAAUGGAGAACAUCAUACUUUUAGAAUGUACCUCAUUAUUUAUUUUUGAUACUUUCUGUGUGUUAGCGUGUAUACUUAGAGCCUGUUUUGAUUGACUUAUUCUAAGUGCUUUUAAGACAAAAUAGCCUUUAAGCACUUUUGUAGUGUUUGAGUAAAAUAGGGAAAGUGUUUUUAAACCAAAAAGGCAAAAGUAAGCCAAAAGCGAUAAGUUAGAAUUCCUAACUCAUGACUUUUGUCUUAUAAACCAAAAGCUAUACGCCCAUCCAAAUAGGCUUUAGUGGAAUUACAUCUAAUCAUCGCACUUGGAGGUAAUAUUUAGUUUCAACUGCGCUACAUAUACAAAUGUAUGUGUUCAUCUUCAGUAGAAGGAUUCUUGAGAUCUAAGUUGCUCGGACUCUCCAAAAAUGUUGCCGCACCCAUGUACGAUUCUUCAAAAAUACACUAUUUUUGGAGGAUCUGACACACACCCGUAGACAUUUUUGAUGAGUUCGAGCAACUUAGCUUGCGAUCAUUUGGAUUGCCUUGGUGUGGAGAGAAUGGAAAUACGUUGGUAUGAAUAAGAGUUAUCCUCAUGAUAAAGAUCAUGUAUCAUAGAUUUCUUGCCUGUUAGUAACCUGCUUAAGUCGGCAUAACCUGACAGGUUUAUAUGUAGUCACAUACCUGGAUACUUCUUGUCUUGAUUCUCAUUAGUAACUCCAGUAGCAUCUGGAUAAAGAACAGAAUUAGUGUUUGAAUGUGCAAAAUUCUUAGGUAUAAAGUGCCAACAACACUCUCACAAUGAGAUGCUCAGUACAUUUGGUUAGUUCAUUGUCGAAAAAAGAUCGGUGUACUUCUUAACUCGACGAGAAUGAGUUGAUAAAGGUUCCUAUGUAAUUAUGCACACCUCUUCUUGAUAUUUGUGUGCAAGUUUUGAUGAAUUAUAUCUAAUCGUUAUAGCUUGAGGUAAUAGUUAGUUUCAACUGUGGUAUUUAUGCAUGUAUUCACCUUGAAUUGGGGGAUUCUCGGGAUCAUUUUGACUAUCACUUUGAUGACCUUGGUCUGUGGUAAAAGAAAAAUUAGUUAUUACUAGUAAGAGUUAUCCUCCUGAAAUAUGUAUAUCAUAGUUUAAUUCCACAUAACCUGAAGAGCUUAUUACAUAAUCACGUACCUUGAGGCUUCGUCGCUUGAUUCACGUUAGUUACUCCAGUUAAAUCUGGAUAGAAAAGAGAAUCAGUCUUUGGAAAAAAGGGGCAUCCCGGUGCACUAAAGCUCCCUCUAUGUGCAUGGCCGGACCACAAGAGUCUAUUUUGCGCAGCCUUACCUUGCAUUUCUGCAAGAGGCUGUUUCCACGGCUUAAGCUUGUGACCUCCUGGUCACAUGACAGAAUCAAUCUUUUAGCAAAUUGUUGAGAUGAACAAGAAGAAAGGCUUGAGGUUUCCAGCUCAAGUAGGAACUAAGUAGCUGAAGUUAAAAGAAACACUACUCAUAACUAACUUUGUGAAAAGUCAGUUAUGACAGUUAAGAGGUAGUUAGAAUUAGUAACUCUAGAAGGUUCUAUACUUGUCUAUAUAUAGUGAUCACUCAUGUAUAUGUAGCCAUAUGAUCAAGAUAGAGAUUGAUUCAUCUCAUCCAUGUUUACAAACUAUCUGAUAACACUCUCUUCUUCCCAUCAAUUCUCUCUUUUUUCUCUCUUUCUUCAUUUCUUUCUUUCUUUCUGAUUCUAUAGCUUCCUGAGAGAAGCAUUGUUAUUCUUUGUACUCUUGAUGAGAUUCUUUCAUUUAGAUCAUAUAAUUCUACACAAAUAAAAUUCUUAGGUACUAAGUUCCAACGAGAAUCCCCUGAAGCACUCGUAUCAUUUGGUUAGUUCAUUGCGAAAAAAGAGAUUGGUACUAUUGGUUAACUCGGCAUGGGUGGAGUAAUCAAUGUUUCAAUAUAAUCACGUACCUUUAGACUUGUUCCCACGAUAUGCUUCUUUGAUAUAAUCUGGGAUAGAAAAGAGAAAAUCAGUCUUGGUAAUGUAAACCUUUUAGGUAGGAAGUGCCAACGACAGUCUUUCAUACACUCUUUAGUGCAUUUUCAAAUGAGAUUGGUCUAUCACUUUCGAUGAACUCCCAAAGCAAGUGAGCAACGUCCUUGUUUUGAUUGGAGUCUGUUGGCAUUUCCUACCUAACGAGUUUUUGUACUAGUAUAAUGUACUAUACAGAUUAGAUGAAACAUUGAUCACUGUGGUAAAUCUACCGACCAAUGAAUUUCUUUGUCCCACACCAUUGUAUUUUCUGGUAUAAGUCUAUUUUUCUUUCAGCUUUAUAUGUCUCUUUCUCUAGCUCUUUGACAGUUAUGCCUGGAUAAAAGAACUCAGUAGCUAUAUAACCUCCACAAACGAUGAACAUAAACUAUUAUGCAAAAGUAUUGGGUGUGUAUGGCUAACAGAAAACUGUAAAUGUGUUGGGCUGACACAAAGAGCUAUGCCACUUUUUGACACAAAAGGCCAGACUUACUGUAGUAGAUAAUGCUAUCGAUGAAUCGAAAACGGUUGCCACUUCUGAAUACUUGAGGCAUCCUGGAAAGGAUGUGUAGAGGAGACAUGCCUUGUGUGUUGUAACGGUUGACGAGUGGCUUAUAGUAAUGUAUUAUCUGAAAAGCCAGUUCUGUUACAAGAGAAGUUGUUAAUACUACUAUCCCAUUCUACAAGAAGAAGAACUUAAUAUAUGGAUAUAUAGUCAAACUUCUCUAUAAUGACGUCGUUUGUUUCGAUUAUUUUUGGCUAAUAUAGCGAAAUGCUGUUAUAAAGAACAUAUAAUAUAACAUAAUAUGAAAAUCAGUUUAAAAAAGUAUUUGGUUGUUGGUGAAAUAUUGUUAUAGCGGAUGACUGUUGUAGAGAGGUCUAACUGUAUAAUCGAAUUGUCUGCUUAUGGCUCUUACCAAAGUACUCGCCAGAGAUGGCGACGUGUAGAAUAUUGUCCCCAUCUUUUCUUCUACAAAGUUCGAUUGGACCUUCUUCGUUUUCGUUUUGACAACAUUUAUGUAGGUAGAGAAAAGCGUCUUGCUUGCCGCAAGAAGCAGUUAUGAAUAAGGGGGUUUCCCCUUUUUCAUUGGUCUCCCAGAUGAGUUCAGGUUCUUCUGAGUUCACCAAACACUCAAUAAUGGGGACACUCCCGAGUUCUGCUGCAAGGUGAAGAGGUGUGUUCC
This 22117-nucleotide long non-coding RNA is filed under the name Capsicum annuum. RNAcentral describes it as "long non-coding RNA (CANN_LNC018332)". The record is from RNAcentral. Lineage: Eukaryota; Viridiplantae; Streptophyta; Magnoliopsida; Solanales; Solanaceae.